GCUAUAAGUCGGGGCUCAUCAAAUGUUAAUAUCACUGGUGUAACAUGCAGACCAGGAAAUGGUAUCAGGUUACAAGGCCCUUUUUUGCCUUUGUUCAUCUCUCCAUCUAAAUUUUAAAAAACUUUACUACAAAUUAUCUUAAAAAAUAAAUUUUAAAAAAAAUAAAAAAAAAUUGGUAACAAAAUAAAUAUUAUUGAUGAUAAACAAUUGAGUGUCAAAAGUACAUCAAUAGAAAUCUAAUAUUACCUGCAAAGAGAAGGGUGUUUACCCAAUCAAUGCCCCAACACAUUAAGCAAUUAAUCGCCUAACCAUUUUCUCUUUUGUCUUUUCUUUUUCUUUUUUCAAUACCUCUACAUUCCAGAAAAUAACCUUCAUUAAGAAAAAUAGAAAACCCAAUGAAGUGCCUAAAUAGAACAGUAGGGCCAUUGAUUCUGGUGCUUAUUGCCCUGCUUGUGAAGCAAAGUCAUACAAUUUUCUUCCAGUUCGACAAUCCCACUAACAACUUCAUCACCUUUCCCGUCAUUACUCCAAUCCAAACCAAGUAGUUUGCCCAUUUUUCAUUCCAUACGAGUCCGGAUCCUCUAGAGCGAUUUAGGUUCUUUCUAUACAGCCUUAGCUUCAUCAAGAAUCAAUUGAUUCCUGUUCAGAAUACCUCCAGUAGACGGGAACAAAGGAGCAUAUUGUUACCCUGUGUCUGAUUCUUUACUUCUUGUAACAUUUACAAUGAUCAUGUUUAAGAAAAAGGUAAUCUUUCAAUGCAGCAUUGGGGCCUUGGGGCACGGAGGGUAUGACAGAGUGGAAGGAAUUCAUGUGAGCAAUUGUACAUUCAAAGGAACUAUGAAUGGUGUGAGAAUUUAGACUUGGCAGGGAGGAAAUGGGUAUGCAAGGAAGGUUUCAUUUGAGAAUAUUACGCUGGUCCAAGUCAAUAAUCCCAUCUUAAUUGAUCAGUUCUAUUGUCCUAGUCGAGUCGACUGCCAAAACAAAACAUCAGCAGUUGAACUGAGUGAUAUAUCAUACUCUGGAAUUAUGGGGACAUCAACUGCAGAUGAGGUGAUAAAUCUGAGUUGCAGCCAGAGUGGCAGCGGCGGCUGCACCGACAUUUCACUUGACUGUGUGUACAUAGCCUCCACAAUUCCAGGGAAGAAGACUUAUGCGAACUGUCUCAAUGCCCACGGAAGAUCUACCCAUACUAAACCUGCUGUCAAAUGCCUAUUGCAAUAGCUGAAUCGCAUGCCUAUAUAUUGUUGUUUUCAUUGUGAUUCUGAUGAUUGCAAUGUGAUUCUAGAGUAGAGGUUUCAAGCCCAAAUGGCUCCAGAAUUACUCUUGAUUUUGGAGUAUGAUGAGACUUUCUUUGAAUUGGUGCCAUUUUCUAUUUACCAGUUAUUGUAUAUAUGGGCAACUU
Molecule: non-coding RNA, 1402 nt
Organism: Camellia sinensis
Lineage: Eukaryota; Viridiplantae; Streptophyta; Magnoliopsida; Ericales; Theaceae
Source: RefSeq, a predicted model, not a curated record